Long non-coding RNA from Oncorhynchus kisutch (coho salmon), 1849 nucleotides. The record is from Ensembl. NCBI's taxonomy places the organism in Eukaryota, Metazoa, Chordata, Actinopteri, Salmoniformes, Salmonidae.
UCAUAACAAAUUCAAGGAGGUGUGUGUGUGUGUGUGUGUGUGUGUGUGUGUGUGUGUGUGUGUGUGUGUGUGUGUGUGUGUGUGUGUGUGUGUGUGUGUGUGUGUGUGUGUGUGUGUGUGUGUGUGUGUGUGUGUGUGUGUGUGUGUGUGUGCGGCCGGGCGUGCGUGCGCAAUUGUUAACCAGAGGGAUUAAAAUAAAACAGGUAGAAUAAUACUGUGAAGAGAGACAGAAAGACCAGUCUUCCAGUCUUUGGGAGUGAGGCCUUAGUGAUGGGCACGCGGCCAGAGCAUAUCGAGCCCUCCCUCUGUGAUGUCAUAAUGAGAGAUGAGGAGACAGGGCCGAACAGGAAAUAGUGGAGGAAGUGAUGGAUCUAGCCCAGAGGGCACCAGGUGCUGGGAGACAGAGGGAGAUCUGUUAACACCUCUAAAGCACGACUGUGCUUCACUACUGCUACACUGUGCUACGCUACUGCUACACUGUGCUACACUAGUGCUACGCUACUUCUACACUAUGCUACGCUACUGCUACAAUGUGCUACGCUACACUACUGCUACACUGUGCUACACUACUGCUACACUGUGCUACGCUACUGCUGCACUGUGCUGCGCUACUUCUACACUAUGCUACACUACCUCUACACUGUGCUAUGCAUUUGCCAUACUGUGCUACCCUACUGCUACACUGUGCUACCCUACUUCUGCACUGUGCUACCCUACUUCUGCACUGUGCUCCACUACUGCUACACUGUGCUACACUACUGCCUCACUGUUCUAUGCUACUUCUACACUAUGCUACACUGCUGCUGCACUGUGCUACGCUACUUCUACACUUUGCUACACUACCUCUACACUGUGUUACGCAACUGCUAUACUGUGCUACCCUACUAAUAUACUGUGCUACACUACUGCUACACUGUGCUACACUACUGCCUCACUGUUCUAUGCUACUUCUACACUAUGCUACACUACUGCUGCACUGUGCUACGCUACUUCUACACUAUGCUACACUACCUCUACACUGUGUUACGCAACUGCUAUACUGUGCUACCCUACUGCUGCACUGUGCUACCCUACUAAUAUACUGUGCUACACUACUGCUACACUGUGCUACACUACUGCUGCACUGUGCUACACUACUUCUGCACUGUGCUACACUACUUCUACACUGUGCUACGCUACUGCUACACUGUGCUACACUACUGCUGCACUGUGCUACGCUACUUCUACACUGUGCUACACUACUGCUGCACUGUGCUACGCUACUGCUGCACUGUGCUACACUACCUCUACACUGUGCUACACUGUGCUACGCUACUGCUGCACUGUGCUACACUGUGCUGCGCUACUGCUGCACUGUGCUAUGCUACUGCUGCACUGUGCUACGCUACUGUUGCACUGUGCUACGCUACUUCUACACUGUGCUACACUACCUCUACACUGUGCUUCACUACCUCUACACUGUGCUACACUACUCCUACACUGUGCUACACUACUGCUGCAUUGUGCUACGCUACUGCUGCACUGUGCUACACUGUGUUACACUGUGCUACGCUACUGCUGCACUGUGCUACACUGUGUUACACUGUGCUACGCUGUCCUACGCUACUGCUGCACUGUGCUACGCUACUGCUGCACUGUGCUACACUACUGCUACACUGUGCUACGCUGCUGCUGCACUGUGCUACGCUACUGCUACACUGUGCUACACUACUUCUACACUGUGCUACACUACCUCUACACUGUGCUACACUACUGCUGCACUGUGCUACACUACUGCUACACUGUGCUACACUGUGCUACACUGUGCUACACUGCAAAACACAAAAUACUGCAGGGUGGACUACAUACA